CCCUUAGAUGUCCUGGGCUGCACGCGCGCUACACUGACACGCUCAACGAGUAAUACCUGCUCCGAAGGGACUGGGUAAUCUUGUUAAAUCGUGUCGUGAUGGGGAUAGAUUAUUGCAACUAUUAAUCUUCAACGAGGAAUGCCUAGUAAGCGCGAAUCAUCAGUUCGCGUUGAUUACGUCCCUGCCCUUUGUACACACCGCCCGUCGCUCCUACCGAUUGAAUGGUCCGGUGAAAAUUUCGGACAGUGACGAUGCUGGCGGUCCGCCGCCGGCGCUGUCGCUGGAAGAUCUUUAAACCUUAUCAUUUAGAGGAGGGAGAAGUCGUAACA
RNAcentral lists this ribosomal RNA (329 nucleotides) under uncultured eukaryote. Its description in RNAcentral is "partial 18S ribosomal RNA". It matches the Rfam family "Eukaryotic small subunit ribosomal RNA", at positions 1470 to 1796 of the family's 1831-position model. The record is from RNAcentral.